UAGGGAAUCUUCCGCAAUGGACGAAAGUCUGACGGAGCAACGCCGCGUGAGUGAUGAAGGUUUUCGGAUCGUAAAACUCUGUUGUUAGGGAAGAACAAGUACAAGAGUAACUGCUUGUACCUUGGACGGUACCUAACCAGAAAGCCACGGCUAACUACGUG
This 161-nucleotide ribosomal RNA is filed under the name uncultured bacterium. Its description in RNAcentral is "partial 16S rRNA". It matches the Rfam family "Bacterial small subunit ribosomal RNA", at positions 355 to 507 of the family's 1533-position model. The record is from RNAcentral.